UUACCUAAAUAUGGUCAGCUGCCACUAAAGAAUCUCAAUUCAGCCACAAACAUUACAAAACUUUAUCUACUAUGACUACUCAUUACUCAAUAAUUCAGCUCCCAUUACUCAAUAAUUCAACAAAUGAAUUUAACAAGAAAGAAACUAUCUUUUCCAAACACAAAUUGAAUUACACACUGCAGUGUGAAUAAAAGAGAAAAGAAAUUACAAAAUACAAAACAAAACUCUUGGACUUCACAAACUUGGAGCUCCAGCUUUGGCAAUCCAAGCCUGCCUUGCAGAGUCUUUCUUCUUGUCCACUACAUCAGAGCGCAGGGAUUCCCUUCCAAAAAACUAAAAAAUUCGUGAAAAAUAGAAAACUUUAAAAUCAGUACCCUGAUAAAACAUUAUAACAACAAUCAAUCAAUAAAAGUUGAACCUUCGACAAAAUUCACAGAGCUGACUGUCAUCUUCGCCGGUGAUUUCAUGGGAACAAAUUUUCAAAAGAUAAUCUUCAAAAUUUUUAGCAAGAUCGACGACCCAAUUGGAUUCUAGGUCACGAUACGGCUUUACGAUGUGAAAUUUUUUGUUGGCAUCAUAACUGCUCGGUCCUUCUUUGUUUUGGUUCAUCUUUUGUGGACUAAUUUCUUUUAAAACCCUAAUUCUUCAAAAUUUGGGGCUGGAGGUAAGAAGAAAAUGGCUUAGGAACUGAAUUUUAGCUUCAAGAUAUCAUAUUUAAAAAUUGAAGCAGCAAUUCCAUAAACCCCUAAUUGAUACAAUAAGCGAGAGAGCUAGAGAGGCAAGCCAAAUAUUAAUAGAUUAUCAUUAACAAUUGGAAGAGUCGAAGAUGAGUCUGGAAAAUUAAAAAAAUUACCUAUGAAAAAUCUGGAGUCUGGAGACUAGAGGCAGCGCCGCAGCGGAUGCCGAAGUUCAGAAGUUCUGAACUGAAUAGAAGACUGGAGAUCGGAGCAGUUGGGAAACGGGAUAGGGAGGAACAGUCGAGAUGGAGAGGAACGGUGACCGGUGGUAGAGCAUCAGAGCAGUCCGAGGUUGGGAGUUGGGAUUUGGGAGCAAUCGAGAAUUCG
This 1064-nucleotide long non-coding RNA is filed under the name Panax ginseng (ginseng). Its description in RNAcentral is "long non-coding RNA (PGIN_LNC001090)". Lineage: Eukaryota; Viridiplantae; Streptophyta; Magnoliopsida; Apiales; Araliaceae. The record is from RNAcentral.